CCGGCCAGGGACCGGUCCACUACUCCCGGUUCCUUUUUCUCUCGACGUCACCCGUCGCCUGCCACGUUUCAGUGCUCUAAUCUCGUCGACGACGCCUACUCACGAUCCCUGUCACGCCGAGGUCCCGCCACCGCCGCCGUUUCCGAAGGAAUCUCUCUCCCUCUCUUUUAAGCUACUAGCUCGUGGUUUCAUCUGUUGCUACGGCAAGUUACUCAGGGAAUGGCACCAUAGGGUUGCCAAAGGUAUGGUCGACCAAAAAUUUGGUUGUACAGAGACAAAGUUACCAAUGACCCAAUGGGUGAUGCAACAAUUACAUACAAGGAUCCUCAUGCUGUUGUUGAAUGGUUCUACAACAAGGAUUUUCAUGGAACCCCCAUUGAAGUACAUAUAGCAGAGUCAAAAACCAAAGAUUUGAAUGAUCAUUCAUAUGCUCAACAGAAUGGCUUUGAAGCAAAUUCAAGCAUGGUACCUGGGGUUUAUGAUGAUGUGGAUCGUGGAGGAGGUAGAGGUAGAGGUCGUGGUGAUGCUUCAGGAUGGUCAUGGCAGAAAGAUGGAGACUGGAUGUGUCCAAAUACAAGGUCUUUGGUUUGACAAUGAUGUUCGAAUGUGAACUUUGCAUUCUGAGGUGUUUGAAAUUGGUGUGGGACAGCUCGACCUGCUGGUGCUGGUGGAACAGGUGCUGUUGGUGGUAGAGGGAGGGGCCAUGGUGGUGGUGAUACUGGGGAACGUGCCUGUCAUGUUGGUGGUUCUAUGGGGCUCUUUGGUUCAAAUGACUGGCCCUGUCCAAUGUGUGGGAACAUUAACUGGGCAAAGUGCAUGAAGUGCAAUAUAUGUAACACCAACAAGUCAGGUCACAGUGAGUGUGGUGUGAGAGGAGGCUGUGCUGGUGGAUACAAGGAACUUGAUGAAGAAGAGAUAGAGGAAACAAGGCGAUGACGGAGAGAAGCUGAUGAGGAUGAUGGGGAAAUAUAUGAUGAAUUUGGCAACCUUAAGAAGAAAUUCCAUGCAAAAACACAACAGGCUGAAUCUGGACAGAUGGUUCCUGGUUCUGGACGUGCUGGAUGGGAGGUUGAUGAGAUAGUUAUGACUGGGAGACAUGGUAUGGAUAAAAGCAGAGAUAGCAACA
Molecule: non-coding RNA, 1126 nt
Organism: Musa acuminata subsp. malaccensis (wild Malaysian banana)
Lineage: Eukaryota; Viridiplantae; Streptophyta; Magnoliopsida; Zingiberales; Musaceae
Source: RefSeq, a predicted model, not a curated record